UCAGUUUUUGAGCUGCUAUGUCAGAUUUUGUACUGUCACAUUAGCUUGACACAUUCUUCCAUAUUUUCUUUUGAGUUGUUAUAUCAACUUUUGAUAUAUUACAUCAGCUUUUAAGCUUCUAUGAUAGCUCCUGAUCUGCCACAUCAGUCUCUGUAUUGCUAUGUUAGCUCCUGAUCUAUCACUUUAGUCUUUGAGCUGCUACAUCAGCUUCUAAUCUACCACUACG
This 226-nucleotide long non-coding RNA is filed under the name Elaeis guineensis (African oil palm). RNAcentral describes it as "long non-coding RNA (EGUI_LNC037340)". Lineage: Eukaryota; Viridiplantae; Streptophyta; Magnoliopsida; Arecales; Arecaceae. The record is from RNAcentral.